AACGAACGCUGGCGGCAGGCUUAACACAUGCAAGUCGAGCGCCCCGCAAGGGAGCGGCAGACGGGUGAGUAACGCGUGGGAACAUACCCUUUGGUUCGGAAUAACUCAGGGAAACUUGAGCUAAUACCGGAUACGUCCGUAAGGAGAAAGAUUUAUCGCCAAAGGAUUGGCCCGCGUCCGAUUAGCUAGUUGGUGAGGUAACGGCUCACCAAGGCUACGAUCGGUAGCUGGUCUGAGAGGAUGAUCAGCCACAUUGGGACUGAGACACGGCCCAAACUCCUACGGGAGGCAGCAGUGGGGAAUAUUGGACAAUGGGCGCAAGCCUGAUCCAGCCAUGCCGCGUGAGUGAUGAAGGCCUUAGGGUUGUAAAGCUCUUUUGUCCGGGAAGAUAAUGACUGUACCGGAAGAAUAAGCCCCGGCUAACUUCGUGCCAGCAGCCGCGUUAAU
This 447-nucleotide ribosomal RNA is filed under the name uncultured bacterium. RNAcentral describes it as "bacterial SSU rRNA". It matches the Rfam family "Bacterial small subunit ribosomal RNA", at positions 29 to 524 of the family's 1533-position model. The record is from RNAcentral.